UCUGGAGGAGCAAAUGCAAUCGCAGAAUCAGAAAAUCCAAGAUUUGAGUGCAGGGCUGCAUAGAAUGGAAGAAAUGAUGAGCCAUAGAAUGGAGGAGAUGAUGAGUCAAAUGAUGGAAUUGAUGAAGCCGUCGCAAGGGAAAGGUAAGGAGCCUGUGGUCCCUGAAACUCAAUCUAAUGUGAAUGGAACUAGGGUCAAUCCUAUUGAAAUUGGAGCAAAUAGUAAUGAAGGAAGGGGUAUUUUGCCGCUGCCGAAGGGGG
RNAcentral lists this unclassified non-coding RNA (260 nucleotides) under Hevea brasiliensis (rubber tree). Lineage: Eukaryota; Viridiplantae; Streptophyta; Magnoliopsida; Malpighiales; Euphorbiaceae. The record is from RNAcentral.